GACGAACGCUGGCGGCGUGCCUAAUACAUGCAAGUUGAGCGCUGAAGGUUGGUACUUGUACCAACUGGAUGAGCAGCGAACGGGUGAGUAACGCGUGGGGAAUCUGCCUUUGAGCGGGGGACAACAUUUGGAAACGAAUGCUAAUACCGCAUAAAAACUUUAAACACAAGUUUUAAGUUUGAAAGAUGCAAUUGCAUCACUCAAAGAUGAUCCCGCGUUGUAUUAGCUAGUUGGUGAGGUAAAGGCUCACCAAGGCGAUGAUACAUAGCCGACCUGAGAGGGUGAUCGGCCACAUUGGGACUGAGACACGGCCCAAACUCCUACGGGAGGCAGCAGUAGGGAAUCUUCGGCAAUGGACGAAAGUCUGACCGAGCAACGCCGCGUGAGUGAAGAAGGUUUUCGGAUCGUAAAACCCUGUUGGUAGAGAAGGACGUUGGUGAGAGUGGAAAGCUCAUCAAGUGACGGUAACUACCCAGAAAGGGACGGCUAACUACGUG
Molecule: ribosomal RNA, 497 nt
Filed under: uncultured bacterium
Lineage: Bacteria
Description: partial 16S ribosomal RNA
Rfam family: Bacterial small subunit ribosomal RNA
Source: RNAcentral